CGGAGAGUUUGAUCCUGGCUCAGGAUGAACGCUGGCGGCGUGCCUAAUACAUGCAAGUCGAACGCUUUGUGGUUCAACUGAUUUGAAGAGCUUGCUCAGAUAUGACGAUGGACAUUGCAAAGAGUGGCGAACGGGUGAGUAACACGUGGGAAACCUACCUCUUAGCAGGGGAUAACAUUUGGAAACAGAUGCUAAUACCGUAUAACAAUAGCAACCGCAUGGUUGCUACUUAAAAGAUGGUUCUGCUAUCACUAAGAGAUGGUCCCGCGGUGCAUUAGUUAGUUGGUGAGGUAAUGGCCCACCAAGACGAUGAUGCAUAGCCGAGUUGAGAGACUGAUCGGCCACAAUGGGACUGAGACACGGCCCAUACUCCUACGGGAGGCAGCAGUAGGGAAUCUUCCACAAUGGGCGAAAGCCUGAUGGAGCAACGCCGCGUGUGUGAUGAAGGGUUUCGGCUCGUAAAACACUGUUGUAAGAGAAGAAUGACAUUGAGAGUAACUGUUCAAUGUGUGACGGUAUCUUACCAGAAAGGAACGGCUAAAUACGUGCCAGCAGCCGCGGUAAUACGUAUGUUCCAAGCGUUAUCCGGAUUUAUUGGGCGUAAAGCGAGCGCAGACGGUUAUUUAAGUCUGAAGUGAAAGCCCUCAGCUCAACUGAGGAAUUGCUUUGGAAACUGGAUGACUUGAGUGCAGUAGAGGAAAGUGGAACUCCAUGUGUAGCGGUGAAAUGCGUAGAUAUAUGGAAGAACACCAGUGGCGAAGGCGGCUUUCUGGACUGUAACUGACGUUGAGGCUCGAAAGUGUGGGUAGCAAACAGGAUUAGAUACCCUGGUAGUCCAUGCCGUAAACGAUGAGUG
Molecule: ribosomal RNA, 856 nt
Filed under: uncultured bacterium
Lineage: Bacteria
Description: bacterial SSU rRNA
Rfam family: Bacterial small subunit ribosomal RNA
Source: RNAcentral